UCGGUUGUCACGCCAGUGGCAUUGCCGAGUAGCUAAGUGCGGAAGAGAUAACCGCUGAAAGCAUCUAAGCGGGAAACUUGCCUCAAGAUGAGAUCUCACUGGAACCUUGAGUUCCCUGAAGGGCCGUCGAAGACUACGACGUUGAUAGGUUGGGUGUGUAAGCGCUGUGAGGCGUUGAGCUAACCAAUACUAAUUGCCCGUGAGGCUUGACC
Molecule: ribosomal RNA, 212 nt
Filed under: Chaetoceros curvisetus
Lineage: Eukaryota; Bacillariophyta; Thalassiosirophyceae; Chaetocerotales; Chaetocerotaceae
Description: partial Bacterial large subunit ribosomal RNA
Rfam family: Bacterial large subunit ribosomal RNA
Source: RNAcentral